This 76-nucleotide transfer RNA is filed under the name Deltaproteobacteria bacterium. RNAcentral describes it as "tRNA-Pro". Lineage: Bacteria; Pseudomonadati; Myxococcota; Myxococcia. The record is from RNAcentral.
UUUGGCCUGGUUCAUGGAGAACGCCGGGGCUCGGAACUGCGGGGCCGCUCUGGCCGCUCUGGCCGACCGGCCCGUG